RNAcentral lists this long non-coding RNA (432 nucleotides) under Elaeis guineensis (African oil palm). Its description in RNAcentral is "long non-coding RNA (EGUI_LNC005129)". Lineage: Eukaryota; Viridiplantae; Streptophyta; Magnoliopsida; Arecales; Arecaceae. The record is from RNAcentral.
GGUUUGGAGGUGGAAAAGAAUAAGGAGGAGGAUGAGGAGAAGUGGUGAGGAGGAUGAGAAGGAGGGGAGAGAGGCCGUCGAUAAGAAAUGAGUUAGAGGAGGAGGAUAAGGAGAAAAAGAAGAUGGAGAGAAAGAAGAGGGGGAAAACGGGUUGUCGGCAAGAAGAGGUGGAGGUGGAGAGGACCAUUGUAGAGGAAGAUGGUUUAUAAGCAGUUUGGAGGAGAAGGAAGAAGAUAAGGAGGAGAAAUAGAUGAGAUGGAAAAGAGGAGAUAGAGAAAUAUGUGAAGGUAAAGAAAGCCACCAUGGAGAAGGAGAAAUAGAUGAGAAGAAAAGGAAGGAGGAGAAAGAAAGAAAGAAGGAAGAGGGAGAAAGAGAGACAUCAGCGAUAGAGGAGGAGAGAAUCAAUCGGAGAGAAUGAAGAAAACAAGAGGU